RNAcentral lists this ribosomal RNA (493 nucleotides) under uncultured bacterium. RNAcentral's name for it is "partial 16S ribosomal RNA". It matches the Rfam family "Bacterial small subunit ribosomal RNA", at positions 29 to 523 of the family's 1533-position model. The record is from RNAcentral.
AACGAACGCUGGCGGCGUGCCUAAUACAUGCAAGUCGAGCGAGAAAGUCUUCGGAUGAGUACAGCGGCGCACGGGUGAGUAGCGCGUAGGUAUCUGCCUUGAAGUGGGGAACAACAUCGGGAAACCGGUGCUAAUACCGCAUAUGAAGGUGACUUCAAAGGGGGGUAGCAAUACCUCUCGCUUUAAGAUGAGCCUGCGUGGCAUUAGGUAGUUGGUGGGGUAAUGGCCUACCAAGCCUACGAUGCCUAUCCGGUCUGAGAGGACGACCGGACACACUGGAACUGAGACACGGUCCAGACUCCUACGGGAGGCAGCAGUAGGGAAUAUUGCGCAAUGGGGGAAACCCUGACGCAGCAACGCCGCGUGAGUGAGGAAGGUCUUCGGAUUGUAAAACUCUUUUACUAGGGAAAAAUGCUGAUGGAGCUAAUACCCCAUUAGUUGAUGGUACCUAGAGAAUAAGCACCGGCUAACUUCGUGCCAGCAGCCGCAGUAA